Molecule: ribosomal RNA, 450 nt
Filed under: uncultured bacterium
Lineage: Bacteria
Description: bacterial SSU rRNA
Rfam family: Bacterial small subunit ribosomal RNA
Source: RNAcentral
AGGACGGGACCCCAGUAGAAAGGGACGGCUAACUACGUGCCAGCAGCCGCGGUAAAACGUAGGUCCCGAGCGUUGUUCGGAUUCACUGGGUGUAAAGGGCGCGUAGGUGGUUGUCUGUGUCUCAUGUGAAAACUCAGGGCUCAACUCUGAGAUUGCGUGGGAAACUAGGCAGCUAGAGGACGGUAGAGGGGAGUGGAAUUCCCGGUGUAGCGGUAAAAUGCGUAGAUAUCGGGAGGAACACCGGUGGCGAAGGCGGCUCUCUGGGCCGAUCCUGACGCUGAGGCGCGAAAGCUAGGGGAGCGAACCGGAUUAGAUACCCGGGUAGUCCUAGCCGUAAACGAUGGGUGCUAGGUGUUGGGGGGUAAAGACCCUUCAGUGCCGAAGCCAACGCGAUAAGCAUCCCACCUGGGGAGUACGGCCGCAAGGUUGAAACUCAAAGGAAUUGACGGA